RNAcentral lists this ribosomal RNA (320 nucleotides) under uncultured eukaryote. RNAcentral describes it as "partial 18S ribosomal RNA". It matches the Rfam family "Eukaryotic small subunit ribosomal RNA", at positions 1470 to 1796 of the family's 1831-position model. The record is from RNAcentral.
CCCCUAGAUGUUCUGGGCCGCACGCGCGCUACACUGAACAGUUCAACAAGUCUUAACCUUGGCCGAUAGGUCUGGGUAAUCUUUGAACGCUGUUCGUGAUUGGGAUAGACCUUUGCAAUUAUGGGUCUUCAACGAGGAAUUCCAAGUAAACGCAAGUCAUCAGCUUGCAUUGAUUACGUCCCUGCCCUUUGUACACACCGCCCGUCGCACCUACCGAUUGAAUGGUCCGGUGAAAUCUCGGGACGGCGGCUUGGUCGCUUGCGUCCGACUGCUGAAACUUGAUUAAACCAUAUCAUUUAGAGGAAGGUGAAGUCGUAACA